Galeopterus variegatus (Sunda flying lemur) is the source of this 209-nucleotide long non-coding RNA. RefSeq lists it as uncharacterized. Lineage: Eukaryota; Metazoa; Chordata; Mammalia; Dermoptera; Cynocephalidae. The transcript has 3 exons. The record is from RefSeq and is a predicted model, not a curated record.
AGGGUGCCCGAGAAACAUUUGAGAACUACUACCGAAAACAGAGGCGAAAAUAGGCCCGUUUGGUGCUCCAAGCUCCAUCUAACAUGCAUGAAACUUUAGAUGGCUACAGGAAGUAUUUUAAUCAAAUUGUAGGCUUUUUUGUGGUUGAAGAUCACAUUUUACACACAACCCAGGGCUUAGUAAAUAGAGCCUACAUUGAUGAACUGUGG